Molecule: ribosomal RNA, 495 nt
Filed under: uncultured bacterium
Lineage: Bacteria
Description: partial 16S ribosomal RNA
Rfam family: Bacterial small subunit ribosomal RNA
Source: RNAcentral
GAUGAACGCUGGCGGCGUGCUUAACACAUGCAAGUCGAACGAAGCACCUUGAUUUGAUUCUUCGGAUGAAGAUCUUGGUGACUGAGUGGCGGACGGGUGAGUAACGCGUGGGUAACCUGCCUCAUACAGGGGGAUAACAGGUAGAAAUGACUGCUAAUACCGCAUAAGACCACAGCACCGCAUGGUGCAGGGGUAAAAACUCCGGUGGUAUGAGAUGGACCCGCGGCUGAUUAGGUAGUUGGUGGGGUAACGGCCUACCAAGCCGACGAUCAGUAGCCGACCUGAGAGGGUGACCGGCCACAUUGGGACUGAGACACGGCCCAAACUCCUACGGGAGGCAGCAGUGGGGAAUAUUGCACAAUGGGGGAAACCCUGAUGCAGCGACGCCGCGUGAGCGAUGAAGUAUUUCGGUAUGUAAAGCUCUAUCAGCAGGGAAGAAAAUGACGGUACCUGACUAAGAAGCACCGGCUAAAUACGUGCCAGCCGCCGCGGUAA